CUGAGAAUUGAUGAUAUUGAAGAGCAAUUCUUAGACAGGCUAAACAUGACACAAUAAACACAAAAGAUUCCCCUGUGACUGAAUAAUUGAUGGACGGAAUAGAGGGAUAGAUAAAUUAGUAAAUUAAUCAUUGCUCUGAUCACACCUCAACCCCCCCACCAAUGCCUGGCCAUUUCCCCAAAAAUAAUUUUAAAACAAAACCGGUUGAAGACCCCUGCUCUAGGCUUUGGAUUAUCCGUUACUUUUGGUCCGUGAUGUAUAAAAGGUUGGAGACCCCUGCUCUAUAUGAAGCGUUUUGUCAAAUUACUUUGGAUGAUCAGUUACAACGUUUUUUUUACCUCUUCGGACAUCAGGGUUUGUUUCAGGCAUAUGCACAUGAGCAAAAACGCAACCUAUUUCCUUUGCAUUCAGAAAUGACAAGGCUUACAGAAAACCAUCCUGUCAACAGGUACUCCGUACAAUCAAAAUGGAUUUGAAGUGUUUAAAACAGUAGAAAAAAAUAGUGCCAGGAAAUCACAACCUGCACAAAGCUGGGCUAAAAAAACACCA
Molecule: long non-coding RNA, 549 nt
Organism: Rhinichthys klamathensis goyatoka
Lineage: Eukaryota; Metazoa; Chordata; Actinopteri; Cypriniformes; Leuciscidae
Exons: 2
Source: RefSeq, a predicted model, not a curated record